This 433-nucleotide ribosomal RNA is filed under the name uncultured bacterium. Its description in RNAcentral is "partial 16S ribosomal RNA". It matches the Rfam family "Bacterial small subunit ribosomal RNA", at positions 29 to 507 of the family's 1533-position model. The record is from RNAcentral.
AACGAACGCUGGCGGCAUGCCUAACACAUGCAAGUCGAACGAGACCUUCGGGUCUAGUGGCGCACGGGUGCGUAACGCGUGGGAACCUGCCCUUAGGUUCGGAAUAACUCCCCGAAAGGGGUGCUAAUACCGGAUAAUGUCUUCGGACCAAAGAUUUAUCGCCUUUGGAUGGGCCCGCGUUGGAUUAGCUAGUUGGUAGGGUAAAAGCCUGCCAAGGCGACGAUCCAUAGCUGGUCUGAGAGGAUGAUCAGCCACACUGGGACUGAGACACGGCCCAGACUCCUACGGGAGGCAGCAGUGGGGAAUAUUGGACAAUGGGCGAAAGCCUGAUCCAGCACUGCCGCGUGAGUGAUGUAGGCCUUAGGGUUGUAAAGCUCUUUUACCCGGGAUGAUAAUGACAGUACCGGGAGAAUAAGCUCCGGCUAACUCCGUG